UACAGAGGGGGCAAGCGUUAUUCGGAAUUAUUGGGCGUAAAGGGCGCGUAGGCGGCCUGGCAAGUGGAAGGUGAAAUCCCUCGGCUUAACCGAGGAACUGCCCUCCAAACUGCUUGGCUUGAGUCCGGGAGAGGUGAGUGGAAUUCCCAGUGUAGCGGUGAAAUGCGUAGAUAUUGGGAGGAACACCAGUGGCGAAGGCGGCUCACUGGACCGGAACUGACGCUGAGGCGCGAAAGCGUGAGGAGCAAACAGG
Molecule: ribosomal RNA, 253 nt
Filed under: uncultured bacterium
Lineage: Bacteria
Description: partial 16S ribosomal RNA
Rfam family: Bacterial small subunit ribosomal RNA
Source: RNAcentral